RNAcentral lists this microRNA precursor (99 nucleotides) under Cercocebus atys (sooty mangabey). RNAcentral's name for it is "miRNA (ENSCATG00000019004.1)". The record is from RNAcentral. Lineage: Eukaryota; Metazoa; Chordata; Mammalia; Primates; Cercopithecidae.
UGAGGCAGGAGAAUUGCUUGAACCCAGGAGGUGGAGGUUGCAGUGAGCCGAGAUCGGGCCACUGCACUCCAGCCUGGGUAACAGAGGGAGACUCCAUCU